RNAcentral lists this long non-coding RNA (283 nucleotides) under Elaeis guineensis (African oil palm). RNAcentral's name for it is "long non-coding RNA (EGUI_LNC065059)". Lineage: Eukaryota; Viridiplantae; Streptophyta; Magnoliopsida; Arecales; Arecaceae. The record is from RNAcentral.
GCGUCUGACGUGCAUGUGAAGUAGGGGGUCUGCAUAUCCAGACCUCCGCGAAGGUUUAUAUUAGAUAAUUUGAGAUUUGAUUCCUGAUUCUGCUGCGAUUCAGGUAGGGAUUUGAUCCUUAAACAAGUAGAACAUUAAAAAAAUUUUUUAGAUGCAACCUGGGCAUGCUGAAGAGAAACUGUUUCCUAUGCUUCAGACCUCUCUUUUGGGUGUCAUAAUCUGAUAGAAAUCUCCUCUUAGCCAUCCCAAGGUUGUGGUAUUUUAUAGGUAUAAAAGAGUUUCA